RNAcentral lists this small nuclear RNA (163 nucleotides) under Thrips palmi. RNAcentral's name for it is "U1 spliceosomal RNA". It matches the Rfam family "U1 spliceosomal RNA". Rfam says of the family: U1 is a small nuclear RNA (snRNA) component of the spliceosome (involved in pre-mRNA splicing). Lineage: Eukaryota; Metazoa; Arthropoda; Insecta; Thysanoptera; Thripidae. The record is from Rfam by way of RNAcentral.
AUACUUACCUGGCACAAAGGUUAACCGUGAACACUAAGGCGGUUCCUUCAGGGUGAGGCCUGUCCAUUGCACUUCGGGCGGGCUGACCUCUGCGAGUAUCCCUAAUGUGGAUACCUCGGGUGCACAAUUUUUGAUAGUCGGGACUGCGUACGCGCGGUCCCGG